ACGAGAGGUCCAAGCGUUAGUCGGAAUCACUGGGCUUAAAGGGUGCGUAGGCGGGCUUGUAAGUGUCUUGUGAAAUCCCAUGGCUCAACCAUGGAACUGCAGGGCAUACUGCAAGCCUUGAGGAAUCUAGAGGCCGGCAGAACGAUAGGUGGAGCGGUGGAAUGCGUAGAUAUCUAUCGGAAUGCCAAAGGUGAAGACAGCCGGCUGGGGAUUUCCUGACGCUGAGGCACGAAAGCGUGGGGAUCAAACAGGA
Molecule: ribosomal RNA, 253 nt
Filed under: uncultured prokaryote
Description: partial 16S ribosomal RNA
Rfam family: Bacterial small subunit ribosomal RNA
Source: RNAcentral